Molecule: long non-coding RNA, 1002 nt
Organism: Centruroides sculpturatus (bark scorpion)
Lineage: Eukaryota; Metazoa; Arthropoda; Arachnida; Scorpiones; Buthidae
Exons: 3
Source: RefSeq, a predicted model, not a curated record
GGUUCGGACGGUAUCCCCGGUUUUGUUGAUUUCAUCUAUAAAUCAAUUGUCCCUGCCUGUUUUGUAGCUCCUUUGAAAGAUACUUUUGAUCUGACGGAUGCUCAGACAAUUCUGGCUUUGUCAGAAAGUGCUACGUGUCUAAAAACCAUUCUAGAUAAACGAGGGGACGAAUUUGUAAAUUAUCUGCAAAGUCAAUAUCUUCCGACUCUCAGAGUCUCGCCACAACAGAUUCAUGAAUAUUGUCAGGCUUUAAAAUCAGAUACAAAAGUUUUUAAAAAUUAUUUAAAGCUUUUUUUCCAACAAGCAAAAUCAUAGCAAAUUGUAAAUAUAUAAAUAAACAAUAUAUAUAUUAUGAAAUUGUACAGGUUUUAUCUGUAAGAUGACGUGCCUGAAUCGAGCAAAUGUUAAUGUGAACCGCUGUCGACAUUCCUCUGCGGGAAACAAAAUGUGGUAUUUUGUAAAUACAGAAAUUGAUUUUCUUCGAGCCCAAAUCGCAAGUCUAUGAAAAUCAGGCAACCAAAGAAAGUUUAAGGUUGGCCGGAGAGCUUCCGAUCCGGCGUGCCGCACUUCCAGAAGAGUUUGUUGGAAACACGCUUCUCGCAACUAUAGUGUGUUCCAAUAAAAUUGUCUGAUAAAAAAAUAUAAUGUGCAAAUAACUAAAUAAAUUGUGCAAAAUGCCUUGAUAACAUACAAGUUGUUGCUGUGUAUAAAAAUUCUGUUGAAAUUUUUUGUGUCGACAGCCACAGAAUCGCCAAGAAGUUCGUUGAUAAAUGCAUUAAUUUUUUCUAAUGUUCUCACAGCAGAAUACCACACUGUUCAUCCAAGAACCCCAACGGGUGGCCACUAGACUGGGUGUCCCAGUGAUCGUGGCAGCCCAGUUACAUGUUGGUACAAGUGCUUCCAACUAGGGCAUUUGAGAAGAAUCAUUUUCAUUUUCAAAAUUAAGUCAUUAGUCUUGCUCAAUUCUACAUGAAUACGUUCACAUACUUGGUGUAGGGCAGG